CCUACGGGGGUCAGCAGUGAGGAAUAUUGGUCAAUGGACGCAAGUCUGAACCAGCCAUGCCGCGUGCAGGAAGACGGCUCUAUGAGUUGUAAACUGCUUUUGUACGAGGGUAAACGCAGACACGUGUACCUGUCUGCAAGUAUUGUAUGAAUAAGGAUCGGCUAACUCCGUGCCAGCAGCCGCGGUAAUACGGAGGAUUCGAGCGUUAUCCGGAUUUAUUGGGUUUAAAGGGUGCGUAGGCGGUCGGUUAAGUUAGUGGUGAAAUCUUGAGGCUCAACUUCGGAAUUGCCAUUGAUACUGGUCGGCUUGAGAAUAGUUGCGGUAGGCGGAAUGUAUGGUGUAGCGGUGAAAUGCUUAGAGAUCAUGCAGAACACCGAUUGCGAAGGCAGCUUACCAAGCUGCUUCUGACGUUGAGGCACGAAAGCGUGGGGAGCAAACAGGAUUAGAUACCCGAGUAGUC
This 460-nucleotide ribosomal RNA is filed under the name uncultured bacterium. RNAcentral describes it as "partial 16S ribosomal RNA". It matches the Rfam family "Bacterial small subunit ribosomal RNA", at positions 338 to 795 of the family's 1533-position model. The record is from RNAcentral.